ACGAUCACGUGUUAAUGGUGCAUAGAAUGAUAGGAAGCAAAACCGGAACUGGAGGAUCAUCAGGCAUUCAGUAUCUACAAUCUACAGUCAGGUACUAGUCAAAUAUUACAAAUUCACGUAAAAGAUAUUCGUUAGCUGGUGUAAAUUUUUAUUAAAAAAGGACAUAGUCUUAUGAUUAUUAAACAACAAUUGUUGAGUGAUAAAACAAGUAUCAAAGCACAAUUCAUUUGUACUAAAAGAUUGUUUGGUGUUGAACUUUGCUAUUAAAUGCUCCGAAAUGACAAUGUAAAAAAAAAUUCAAACGAGAGAGAGAACUUACACUUUGAUUUGAGUACAAAACAUUAACGAAAAACAAAUAAUAUACAUCAAUAAAUGUCAAACACUAAAUUGCAAGUUCCUGACUUUAGACAGACACUUACAGAAUGUGGCGGUUGCCGAGCCUUCCAAUAUCCUUAAGCACAGCAGUCCACACAGUGCUUCAUCUGUAUACCUGAUCUAAAAGAUUAUUUUAAAUUGAUCGUAAUUUAUUUACUUAAGAAAUAAUUCCUUCAUGUCAUGCUCAUUUUAACAUGGGUAGGCAUUAUAUUUGUCGAUAUUUCACACUGAGCGUUAGCGAGGUGUAAAAUGUGGUCAAAUAUAAUGCCUACCUAUGUUAAAAUGAGCAUAGAGCAUGACAUGGAGGAAUUAUUUCGAUUCUAAUAGGACAAAUACAGUAUUUUUAUAGGUCGAAGCGUACGAAAAAUCCGUAAAAAUGUUUAGCUGUUCCCGUUUCCUCCCCGAGGAGUCUGUACAUUACAUUUCAUAUGUUUAAAAAAUACGAGCAGGGUAAAUAUAUGUUGUUCGAUAUAACAUAAAUUAUAAAAGUUUAUGUAAGCUACUUAAAUGUAUAUAUUUUAUAGGAUAAUGAUGGAAAUAACUUUAAUAUAAACAGUAAAUUUGUGUGCAUGUGUCAAACAUAUUUUGUGUUCAUUAGGACACGCCUUUGUUUACAAAGCGUAAUAAGGACGUCAUAUUAGAAUUGUUAUUAGUACAUAACAAUACACAUAGUAUUACGUUAAAUGAACAAGGAUACGACAACGAAAAUGUUUUAUCGACAAAUGGAUCAUAUAUCCGUUGAUACACACAUUUUAAAUACUUUAUUUUUAACAUUGUAUUUUUAAAAUUCUAAUAAACCAAAAAAAUCAAUCAUUGUAUCAUCUGAAAUUGUUUUGUAAAUAAGGUAAAAUUUUGUUAUUGGCCUACAUAUUGAAGUCAAUAUUAUAUAAAUAACACAUAGCAGGGAGGGUGAUAGAGUAGAUUGGUACCCCGAGAAAACAUUGUAAAUCGCGGCGAAGCCAAGGUUUACAAUGCUUUUUCGAGGGGUACCAAUCUACUCUAUCACCCUCUCAGCUAUGUGUUAUUUAAUUUAUUAUACUGAAUGUUUAAUCAUUAUUGUCUUUUACAGAUACAUUUUAUUUUAAAGUAUUUUCUAGGAACGUCACGUAAAUAACAACGUUACGGGUAUAAAAAAUCAACAGAAUGGAAUCAAGAUGGGUUUUUUUUAUUUUGCAGUCAAAUAAUAGAAUAUGAGCUAAAAUGUAGAACUUUAUCAUUGUCUUUAAUAACGUGAUGUAAAUUCAAUUCAUUGUCCUUUUAAUUAUCGAUUUUUGAUUGGUCUAGACGAGAGGGUAACAUUAAAAAAAAUUGUCACCCUCUCAGCCAUGUGAUUGAGUAAAUUAACACCCUCGUAUCAGCCAAUCAAAAUAUGGCAUUUUAACGUGAAGUAUAAUAAUAAGACAUAUUUUUAUUUUCAGCGACAAGUACAGAGUAUUCAUCGAUUUUUUCAACGUGUCAACUUUUCUAAUUCCACGAAAGAAUUUAGAAGCUGUAUAAAAUACUGACAAAUCUUAAGAUUAUAUUUUUGUUUUUUU
Molecule: long non-coding RNA, 1910 nt
Filed under: Mytilus galloprovincialis (Mediterranean mussel)
Lineage: Eukaryota; Metazoa; Mollusca; Bivalvia; Mytilida; Mytilidae
Source: RNAcentral